AGAAAUUACCAAGAAAGCCUGGACCCCGGGUGAAACGGAGAAAUGGACACAAGUCCCCUGUGUUUCUCCAUUCUCUUGGUUUUAUGCAUCUUUAUCCAAUCAAGUGCCCUUGGACAAAGCCUGAAACCAGGUGGACGGCAUACUAGAAAACUGGAUCUGGCAGAUGGUGGCCGCGCUGAAGUCUCAGCCGACCCAGCCAGUGAACGUGGGGCUGGUGGACUGGAUCACCCUGGCCCACGACCACUACACCAUCGCCGUCCGCAACACCCGCCUUGUGGGCAAGGAGGUCGCGGCUCUUCUCCGGUGGCUGGAGGAAUCUGUUCAAUUCUCUCGAAGCCAUGUUCACCUAAUUGGGUACAGCCUGGGUGCACACGUGUCAGGAUUUGCCGGCAGUUCCAUCGGUGGAACGCACAAGAUUGGGAGAAUCACAGGGCUGGAUGCCGCGGGACCUUUGUUUGAGGGAAGUUCCCCCAGCAAUCGUCUUUCUCCAGAUGAUGCCAAUUUUGUGGAUGCCAUUCAUACCUUUACCCGGGAGCACAUGGGCCUGAGCGUGGGCAUCAAACAGCCCAUAGGACACUAUGACUUCUAUCCCAACGGGGGCUCCUUCCAGCCUGGCUGCCACUUCCUAGAGCUCUACAGACAUAUUGCCCAGCACGGCUUCAAUGCCAUCACCCAGACCAUAAAAUGCUCCCACGAGCGAUCGGUGCACCUUUUCAUCGACUCCUUGCUGCACGCCGGCACGCAGAGCAUGGCCUACCUGUGUGGUGACAUGAACAGCUUCAGCCAGGGCCUGUGCCUGAGCUGCAAGAAGGGCCGCUGCAACACGCUGGGCUACCACGUCCGCCAGGAGCCGCGGAGCAAGAGCAAGAGGCUCUUCCUCGUAACGCGAGCCCAGUCCCCCUUCAAAGUUUAUCAUUACCAGUUCAAGAUCCAAUUCAUCAACCAAACUGAGACGCCAAUACAAACAACUUUUACCAUGUCACUACUCGGAACAAAAGAGAAAAUGCAGAAAAUUCCCAUCACUCUGGGCAAAGGAAUUGCUAGUAAUAAAACGUAUUCCUUUCUUAUCACGCUGGAUGUGGAUAUCGGCGAGCUGAUCAUGAUCAAGUUCAAGUGGGAAAACAGUGCAGUGUGGGCCAAUGUCUGGAACACGGUCCAGACUAUCAUCCCAUGGAGCACAGGGCCGCGCCACUCAGGCCUCGUUCUGAAGACGAUCAGAGUCAAAGCAGGAGAAACCCAGCAAAGGUGACUGCUGAUUCAAUCUCCUAUUAACGUCCAUUAAGCACCCACUUGUGCCAGGCAGUCUCACAAUUUAAUACUCACAUUCAUCAUGUGAAGUGAGUAUUAUUAGGCCCUAGUGAUGGAGUACAGAAGCUCAGAAAGGUGAAGUGACUAUCCCAACUUUACACAGCCACAGGUGCCAGGACAAGGAUUCAUACCCAGGUCUUUGAAUACACACCAGGGUCUCCCCACUGCCCGUGGCUAACGCUGCCUGCCUCUGGAGCCUGAGGACCACCACACUAACCCCAG
RNAcentral lists this small RNA (1530 nucleotides) under Pan troglodytes (chimpanzee). RNAcentral describes it as "retained intron". The record is from RNAcentral. Lineage: Eukaryota; Metazoa; Chordata; Mammalia; Primates; Hominidae.